CAGUCGCCGCGGGAAUACAGAGGGUGCAAGCGUUAAUCGGAAUUACUGGGCGUAAAGCGCGCGUAGGUGGUUCGCCAAGUUGGAUGUGAAAUCCCCGGGCUCAACCUGGGAACUGCAUCCAAAACUGGCGAGCUAGAGUAUGGUAGAGGGUGGUGGAAUUUCCUGUGUAGCGGUGAAAUGCGUAGAUAUAGGAAGGAACAUCAGUGGCGAAGGCGACCACCUGGACUGAUACUGACACUGAGGUGCGAAAGCGUGGGGAGCAAACAGGAUUAGAUACCCCAGUAGUCCCUGUCUCUUAUAU
RNAcentral lists this ribosomal RNA (301 nucleotides) under uncultured bacterium. Its description in RNAcentral is "partial 16S ribosomal RNA". It matches the Rfam family "Bacterial small subunit ribosomal RNA", at positions 509 to 809 of the family's 1533-position model. The record is from RNAcentral.